Non-coding RNA from Gasterosteus aculeatus aculeatus (three-spined stickleback), 201 nucleotides. NCBI's taxonomy places the organism in Eukaryota, Metazoa, Chordata, Actinopteri, Perciformes, Gasterosteidae. The record is from RefSeq and is a predicted model, not a curated record.
UUAUGGGAGGAACUAUAAGGAAUGUCACCUCAAGGUCACUGCAGCGAAGGAUCGACCCGAACCUGAGACAACGAGUGACACCAGACUGACAAGGAUCGUUCUCUACUGUGCUCUGGGACUGACAGCAGCUCUACUGGUUGUUUAUUCAUUCUAUCGCUGCUUUACCAAAAGGAUGAGAGAUCAGUACAACAAACAAUACAU